RNAcentral lists this unclassified non-coding RNA (231 nucleotides) under uncultured fungus. Its description in RNAcentral is "sequence contains ITS1, 5.8S rRNA gene". The stretch from base 183 to 231 matches the Rfam family "5.8S ribosomal RNA", at positions 1 to 49 of the family's 154-position model. Lineage: Eukaryota; Fungi. The record is from RNAcentral.
UCUCCGUAGGUGAACCUGCGGAGGGAUCAUUACCGAGUGAGGGCCUCUGGCCCGACCUCCAACCCUUUGUUAAUCAAUACCUCGUUGCCUCGGGGGUGACCCGGACCUCGCGUCCGGGGCCCCCGGUGGACCACAUUCAAACUCUUGCAUCUCUGCGUCGGAGUCUCGAGCAAAUCGAUUAAAACUUUCAACAACGGAUCUCUUGGUUCUGGCAUCGAUGAAGAACGCAGC